UACGGAGGGGGCUAGCGUUGUUCGGAAUUACUGGGCGUAAAGCGCACGUAGGCGGCUUUGUAAGUCAGAGGUGAAAGCCCGGAGCUCAACUCCGGAAUUGCCUUUGAGACUGCAUCGCUUGAAUCCAGGAGAGGUGAGUGGAAUUCCGAGUGUAGAGGUGAAAUUCGAUAGAUAUUCGGAAGAAACACCAGUGGCGAAGGACGGCCUGCACUGGAGCUGGUAUUGACGCUGAGGUGCGAAAGCGUGGGAGCAAACAGG
RNAcentral lists this ribosomal RNA (258 nucleotides) under uncultured bacterium. Its description in RNAcentral is "partial 16S ribosomal RNA". It matches the Rfam family "Bacterial small subunit ribosomal RNA", at positions 524 to 776 of the family's 1533-position model. The record is from RNAcentral.